Capra hircus (goat) is the source of this 135-nucleotide small nucleolar RNA. Lineage: Eukaryota; Metazoa; Chordata; Mammalia; Artiodactyla; Bovidae. The record is from Ensembl.
AACCUCCCAGGAUCAUAUCUGGAGCUAGUAUAAUGACUCCCUCAGAGUCAGGAGGGAAAGCAAGCCUGACUGAGGUACCCAUUUUAUUCCCAGUUUACUUAGUACCUGGUGAUUGGAAGACAUUCUGCAACAGAG